CCUACGGGGGGCAGCAGUAGGGAAUCUUCCACAAUGGACGAAAGUCUGAUGGAGCAACGCCGCGUGAGUGAAGAAGGGUUUCGGCUCGUAAAGCUCUGUUGGUAGAGAAGAAAGAUAGAGGUAGUAACUGACCUUCACCUGACGGUAACUACCCAGAAAGUCACGGCUAACUACGUGCCAGCAGCCGCGGUAAUACGUAGGUGGCAAGCGUUGUCCGGAUUUAUUGGGCGUAAAGCGAGUGCAGGCGGUUCAUUAAGUCUGAUGUGAAAGCCUUCGGCUCAACCGGAGAAUUGCAUCAGAAACUGGUAGACUUGAGUGCAGAAGAGGAGAGUGGAACUCCAGGUGUAGCGGUGGAAUGCGUAGAUAUAUGGAGGAACACCAGUGGCGAAGGCGGCUCUCUGGUCUGCAACUGACGCUGAGGCUCGAAAGCAUGGGUAGCGAACAGGAUUAGAUACCCGUGUAGUC
Molecule: ribosomal RNA, 465 nt
Filed under: uncultured bacterium
Lineage: Bacteria
Description: partial 16S ribosomal RNA
Rfam family: Bacterial small subunit ribosomal RNA
Source: RNAcentral